Long non-coding RNA from Gasterosteus aculeatus aculeatus (three-spined stickleback), 13659 nucleotides. NCBI's taxonomy places the organism in Eukaryota, Metazoa, Chordata, Actinopteri, Perciformes, Gasterosteidae. The record is from Ensembl.
UGUAUUAAAUAUCUGCACAACUUCACCUCUUAAGACUCCAGAAUAGUUAACAUUUCAAAAACUUCCAGCAUUUUAUAUUUUUGAAAUCGUUUUAAAAGUGUCAACGUUUCCAUUAACUGGAGGGGGAAAUGGUACAUUUCAAUCCAUUUUGCACUCAGUAUUCUUCUUCUUUUCAUUACUGAGCUCUCAACAGAAUAAAAGAUUCAGCCGAGCCGUCUCCGCGCGUGCGAACUGUCAAUCAAAUGCCAGUCGCAGCAGAAGAAAAUCCGAGGACACCGUCAAACAGGAAUGUUGCAUUUGAUGUAUUUAAAGAAGACACGUGAAAGACGUGAAACAUGAUCACACGAAACACCUAAAAGUCUAUUUUUUAGAUUAAACUUUAUUCAGUUGCUUUAACAGAAUGCACGUACAACAGAAUGUUUUGACCGUUUAAUAGUGUUUCCAUAGCAACUUACUUUUCACUUGAUGUUAUCACUGUAGUUGCCUGAAAUUGUGAUUGAUUGGCAGUGUGAUUCCGUUUGAGUCAUUCUAAAGCACUUUGCAGAGUGCAGAGCUCCAUCAAAGCGUAAAAACGUGUAAUCCAACAUUCAUUUUUCUCACGGAGACAAAUGAGAAAUGAUCCGCACGAAGGAUUUUUGGUGCAGAAAAACCAAUUAUGUCUAAUUACAGGAAAAAUGGGUGAUGAGAUAAGGAGGCGGGGGAGCAGCGAGCAGAGAUAACAGCUUGGGGGAGGAAAGGGGGGGUGGGGGGCAUUUCUACAGUCCAACACUGCAUCGGAACACUUUCAUCUUUAUGUGAAAUGUAUUAGUAAGCUAUAUUUUUCCAUCCCCUCGGGUGGAAAAGGCGCAAGAGCAUUUUUUUUUAGAGACUAGUGGAAUGUCAAGGCAAUAAAACAUGAGCGCUCAUAAUGAACCUUUUUAUUACUGCUUUUACCCAAAAGCAAAACUACAGCAAUAAAAAAAGGCAGCCCAUGCGCAGAGUGGGAGGCUUUGUGCAAAUGGUAAAAAAAACCCUCCUGUAGUCAUUCUGAAUAUUCACAAAGCCCCUGUUCACUGAUGGCUUCAAGUGGGAACCUGAGAACAGUUUUAUGAUGAAGGAUUCUGCGGGUUUGAGGCUUCCAGCAGGUAUUUAUUUUAAUUUGGACAAAGUAUUGCCAAGAACGCUUUGUGUGACCAUCGACCAUAAUGACCACCAUCAUCAUGACCAUACUCAUAAUGACCAUGCUGAUCAUGACCAUUCUCAUCAUGACCAUCAUCAUAAUGACCAUCCUCAUCAUGACCAUCAUCAUAAUGACCAUCCUCACCAUCCUCAUAAUGACCAUCCUCAUCAUGAUCAUUCUCAUCAUGACCAUCAUCAUAAUGACCAUCCUCACUAAUCAUGACCAUCAUCAUCAUGACCAUCAUUAUAAUGACCAUCCUUACCAUCAUGACCAUCCUCACAAUGACCAUCCUCAUCAUGACCAUCCUCAUCAUGACCACCAUCAUCAUGACCAUACUCAUAAUGACCAUCCUGAUCAUGACCAUUCUCAUCAUGACCAUCAUCAUAAUGACCAUCCUCAUCAUGACCAUCCUCAUAAUGACCAUCCUCAUCAUGAUCAUUCUCAUCAUGACCAUCAUCAUAAUGACCAUCCUCACCAAUCAUGACCAUCAUCAUUAUGACCAUCAUUAUAAUGACCAUCCUUACCAUCAUGACCAUCAUCAUCAUGACCAUCCUCACAAUGACCAUCCUCAUCAUGACCAUUCUCAUCAUGACCAUCAUUAUAAUGACCAUCCUCACCAUCAUGACCAUCAUCAUCAUGACCAUCAUUAUAAUGACCAUCCUUACCAUCAUGACCAUCAUCAUCGUGACCAUCCUCACAAUGACCAUCCUCAUCAUGACCAUCAUCAUCAUGACCAUCAUUAUAAUGACCAUCCUCACCAUCAUGACCAUCAUCAUCAUGACCAUCCUCACAUCCUCAUCAUGACCAUCCUUAUCCUCACCAUCCUCAUCAUGCCCAUCAUUAUAAUAACCGUUCCUCACCAUCAUGACCAUCAUCAUCAUGAGCAUUCUCAUCAUGCCCAUCCUUAUCCUCACCAUCCUCAUCAUGACCAUCCUCAUCAUGCCCAUCAUUAUAAUGACCAUCCUCACCAUCAUGACCAUCCUCACAAUGACCAUCCUCAUCAUGACCAUCAUCACCAUGACCAUCCUCAUCAUGACCAUCCUCAUAAUGACCAUCCUAAUCAUGACCAUCAUCAUCAUGACCAUCCUCACCAUCAUCAUGACCAUCCUCACCAUCAUCAUGACCAUCAUGACCAUCCUCACCAUCAUCACGACCAUCCUCAUCAUGACCAUCCUCACCAUCAUCAUGACCAUCCUCACCAUCAUCAUGACCAUCAUGACCAUCCUCACCAUCAUCAUGACCAUCAUGACCAUCACCGUCAUGACCAUCCUCACCAUCAUCAUCCUGACCAUCCUCACCAUCUGCUCCAUGAAGCUGGUCAACAGGUCUUCAUUAUAAACCCGAUCAAAGGCGCACACGUUUCCUGGAUAUCUUCUGUUGGUCUGACACAAGAAGCAAUUUGAAGAAGACUAAUUAUUAAAUAAAGUACAUUUUAUAUUACAAUUAUACAAUAGAACAAAAUAUAUAUUGACAGAUUUAAUAAGGAAAUUAAUUAUCACUUGCAGGCUUUUUUGUUUGCACAAAAUACCAGAACUCGAUUAAUUAUACCAUUAUUUCAUGAAACUAUUACGAACAGUACCUUUCUGACUGGGGUGGAUUAGGGUGACACAACAUGAAAGGACCAUGUGUUCUUCCUGAUACAGAUAUUGAUGAACAGAACACCAGCGGCUUCCCGAUACCGUGUUUUAAACGUCUUAUUAGAUUAAAUAUUGAUGUAACUUACUUGACCUGUCGGCAGAUUGUUGGACACAGAAAUGUUUGAAAGCAGUGUCAUUCUGACACAAUCACUGCUGCAUUGGAAAUAAAAUGAUAAUAAAGCACAAACAACGCCGGUAAGCAGCCGUGAUUGAAGCUCAUUUCACGCCGCUGCAGCUUGAGCCGAGAUGCACGGGGGCAGCACACCUGUCAAUCAAAUCAAAGCCUUUGUGUGGAGGCUCUCUGCACCCAUUACAUUCCUGUCCUGCAUGUGAUUAUCUACACAAAUUGAAUAUUUCAUCUGAUAAAUAUAUGGAGGAAACUGCAGGUUUUUUUCCCCAUUUAAUUGAGAAAGAAAUUAUCUUAUCAAUUAGACAAAUGCACACUUUUUGUGCAAAUAGACCCAAUUUUAUCUAUGAACUUUGAUUACAGCAAUCAAGAUAAUUAUGUAUUGCUCACCACAAUAGAAUAAGUGUGUCAGAGUUUGUCUGACAUCAUCAUCAGCAUCAUCAGAGUGCCUCAAAUCAAGUUGCUUUGGAAUUCACUGAAUAGCAAACCAACAUUUGAGUUCUUCACGUGGGAAACUGUGCUCGGACUUUGCAUGAAGAUAAUUUAGCUGAAUAUAUUGAAUAACAACGGUGACUGACCUCUGAUAAGAGACUUCUGCGUGAAGCACACGGCUGCUCUUAAAACACUACAGACCUCAGCAGAAGCCACAGAGGCGUGAAAGCAUUUCCAUCCCGUGUGUGUGUGUGUGUGUGCGCGCGGAUUUGCCGUUUGCCAGCAGUGUCACCGUGACACCAGCUGAGGGCAGUAGAGCUCUGGUUGGGUUGAUGACGUCAUUCCCUCGUGGCUUGGUAACCCUCCGCUGUGUUGUCCGAGGCCGAAAGAAGUUUGAACCUUCUCCCGCGUUUAAUUAAUGAAGGAUUAGAGGCGACUAAUCCCACCCGUCACACGUGUACGUUUCUGGGUAAGCUCGCUCAUCAGCAAACAUUAAGUAGCCUACAACUUUUUCCAACCAUUUAACGCGAGAGGGAGCUUAGCGGCGUUUCGUGGGAGGGAUCCCAAAAACUGCAACAAAGACAUCGUUCACUGACAUCAGCCGGGAAAUAGUCAGCUUCCAAACCCAGCGUGCGUCUCCACUCCGUUCUCAGAAAAUCCCUUCAGAGGAUCAAAGAAAAAUUCUACCUUUUGCACCAAUUUGACAGUUUACUCCCAAAACGAUCAAACACGGCUGAGAUUCAGAUUAAUGAACCUCAAUUACUGCAGUGGCAGAAGACUGUCAGCGUCACAAAGACGUACUCCUUAAAUCAGCGCGUGACCUGCCUGCGAUGUGUCACCGAGGCCACCGACCCUCCAAAGCUCAAACCAAAAGAGAGGACGGGACUUUUUAUCUGCAGGCCCGAGACGAAGCUGUGCAGCAGGAAUCAUUCCCGCCGAGGUCGAGAUCAAUACAACCUGCCGAGGAAACGCGACAGAUCGCUCACGCUCCGCGUGGGAAUACGCUGUGCAGCAUGUGUUACACGAGCCUUCAGCUGAACCUCCAGGCCCUGCAGACAUUUCGUUUCCUGCUGUGCAUAUGGCUCAUUGUCGGACAGCUCGGCCCGUAUCAAACCGCUUUGUUUCCCUCCAUCUGCCCGAACAACCCUUAAGCUGCGGCAGCAGGCGAUCGUCUCCUCCACCAGCGCGUAUCGGCCCGUCUGUCUGUGCGGGAAGCAAAUCAAGCGGCCAUUGUUGUUGCAUCGUCGUGCAGCUGAGACUGAAAGCCACGUCUGCAGCAGGACGGUAAACGCAUCAGGCGUAAGUACAUCGCAGUUAUGAGAGCAAUCCUCAGCGGAGCUGCAGGAAACAACGUGGCGCAAGGACACUAAAGACCACAGGACGGUGACUUUUACCCAGCAUGCACCACGGGAUGGUUCGUCUUUGUCCUCGCCAAGGACGGAGUCAAAAUAUUUCUACAUUUAAAAAUAGUGGAGCGGCUUGCGGAGGUUUAUCUGCUGACACACUCGUCCUUGGCGGGAAGCUUUACAACUCUCCUCAAAUAGCACUGAAAAUACACGCUGAGGGUUUCAUGCUUUAAGGUGAUUUGACCUUAAAUGUGAAUCCACAUUUCCUUGUAAAUGUUAUCGAAGGGAGACACAAGGCUAAAAAUAUGGAGGCCGAGAAUAAAAAAAAAAAAGGUGGCCGUGUGAGUUUUAUUUUUAUAACAAGUAAUAAAAAGCUGGAUUUGACUUCUGAUGACAUAAUGAAUGCAUGUUGACGGUGGGAUAUCGGGCCAAACCUCUGGGCGGUUUAAUACUUAAAUCACUGAGUCUUGGGGAAUCAAAGGACUCGUCAUGCAGAGAGGAGCGAAAACCUAAAAAAGGGAAGAGGACGACUACAAGGACGAGGAAAGGCGCGGCGGAAAAAAAUGAAAUUUAUUAAGUAAUGGAGUUCUUUUGCGGUUUGGGCGAGGAGUCUAAGUUAACAUUAUCUAGUGUCCUUAAAUAAUAGCCCUAAUUCCCUAACUUGUUAUUGCAUUCAACUUGGUUCAAUCUUGCACAAAAGAAUAAACCUGUUGGGGGGUUCGAGGGAGAUCACGCUCCUUUGUUCUCGUGAUAAUAAUAAUAAUACAAUUACAAAAUGAAAUAUAAUGUGAAGAGUAAAAUAUUUCGCAAAAUAGAAUAGAUUCUAUGAGCAAGUCUAACGCGACGUACCAAAGCAGCUGCAGGAAAACUGUUCCUUAGUCCUUUGAAAACUCCCGGGUGUCUUUUAGCUUUAUUUGAAUGUCAUUGGCUUCUCGUUCAAACGUGUCUCCUCCUGGUUUGUCCCCUUCACGUCCAGGUGUGAAUCUGCUGCUGCAACCUGGAACCUCUCUGUCUUAUCUGUCCCUCACAUUCCAAAGCAUCCAUAGUUUAUAUACUGUAUCCUAUAGCUGGUACGCGUUAAUAACAACACAUCAUAAAUGAUCACUGUUCAUCUUAAGGUUUAACACAGUUCAUGUGGUCCAAUACUCCAGAUAUUUGCCAAGAUCUUGCAUCCAGUUGCUCAUUUCCUACCUGACAGGAGAAAAAAAAACUCUCCUAAAACCCUCUUUGGGGGAAAUCCUUAGAGGACGGCAAUUAGCAUCCGUCCCCAGGUUUUAACAUCACAUCGUGACAUGUUAAUGUGUACAGUGUUUAUAUGACUUACAUGACUAUACAUUUAAUUAUACUGUCAGCGUCAGGAGGCGGGAGCUCUACAGGGGGGGAACGUGGGACCCCCGAGACCAGCCGGCAGUAUUGUGGUGCCACACUCUGCGAUCAGCUCGACUCGCCUGCAAACAGGAAACAAAGUUCUGCUGUGAAUCUUUUGGGUGGGAAAGAGUAAACGCGCCUCCCCCCUUGGGAGGAGAACGCUGUGGAGUCGCCGUGCGCUUCACUGAGCCUGAAACCUGCUUCUGUGCUGCGGGACAAGGGUUUCAGCCCGCGGGGUUCCAGGGCACACGUCCCUCAGAAAGCAAAGAACGACAACGCACGACAUCGGGGUCAUGUAGCGAAGGUCAGUUUCAAAAUAAAGGUCUCAGGUACGGGGGAAAGAAAAAUGAAAGGACGGGGAGAUCUGGCAGCAUUCAAGCCACCCGGGUUCCUCAUCUACAGAAAGCAACAGGAUGGAGAGUUUAAACAGACCACCUUCAAAAUAGAGCAUAGAGACGUUUCUUACAGCUCAAGAAGAGUUAAACAACAGACGAAGGGCACCGACCUGGAUCGAAGCCUUUUGGAGAAACACUCGUUGGAUGACGAGGUUUCAAACAUGGGCGGAAAGACAAAAGGAACCCAAUGCUUUCUAAUCUAAAGUGUGUUUUGGUGAAACUCUCUCUCGUCACAGGCCUCUGCAUAUGCGAUGUUCAAUUGAAUUCAUAAGGGUUGACAAGUCAUUGGUUUCCAUCACAAGAGUCAAAGAAAGAGCAAAUACCUGAGAAGAGGUUUCCUUGUUUAGGCCCUUUGGCCAGGUGUUCCUCUUCUUCUUCUUCCUCAUUACUGCAGGUAAACACAUUGUGAAGCUGCAUAUCGCCACCUGCUGUACAGGGAGUAUGAAACAUUAACCACUCCUUCAUAAUCCAAUCCCCUCCCACUUAGUUUUCCUUUUGAUGCAAGUGAUAUCUUCGUGUUUUUUGAUUCGCUUGCUUUGAUUCUCGAUGAAUUGUGAAACCACCUUCGGAUUUGGACCAAUUAGUGUCUCUGACGGGACGCCGCGGAGCUUCUCCUCCAAACUCGUUUUCUCCUCCCGGUGACCACGAAACAAUCACCUCCAUUGACCCGAGUCAGCGCAGGUCAAGCAGACAGGAGGCGCUGCAGGACACGUCAGUGUUGUUGGGAUUCUUUCGUCCCCAGACUGUCCAAAUACGAUCGCGUGCGUCCUUGUUUUUCGGUCUCUGGCGUCGUUCCUCUGCACCCACAGAGAGGACGUUUCCUUUAGCGCCGUGUGUCUGCGUUUUAUUUUUAUUUAUGGUUCCCUGAAGAGCCCUGUGGAAUUUAGAUGAAAGAAGUUUCCUAUUUUGACUCCAUUUGGAAAAACACGACAGAAGUAGUUUGUGUGAUUGUCUCAACUGGUGAAGACAGCAUGAGGGAAUGUCGAUACGAUAGAGAACGUCUCAGUACCUGUUGCCUCUCUUUGAAUCAUCCAAGUGAGAAAGACUAGUUAAAUCAACUAAUACCUGCGGUGUUUGUGUCCAUGUCAGGUUUAUGUUCAGUUGGAUGUGAUCCUCCGGUUUCUUGCUUGGAUACGACCCAGAAUGCAGCAGUUCUAUUGGCACUAUAAACAGAAAAAGACCCGUGCGCAGGGGGAGCUUGUUAAAUCAAAUGUGCACCAUAAUUUAAACGCGCAUUGGCUGUUUUUUUUAAAGAGGGAAACAGAUUGAAGCUAUAAAUAAAUAAGGGAGACAUUACGUGACACAAGGAGAUGUUUUGUUUCGGCCACGUGGAAAAUAAAGUGUAAACAUGCACUUGAUUUUCAUCCCACACGCUGGCUGCUGCAGCGGGUCAGAUGGAUCUGAGGAGACGACGGGAGGCAACGACGGGGUCACGUUCCUGCAGGGAGUCUGAGCCCGUUGUGUGCAUGACUCCGUAUCCACAGGAGAGGGAGGGAGGGAGUUUGCAGAUUGGUCUCUCUGAUUGCACGAAGGGGAAGAAAAAGCAGCAAAGGGGAGAAGGAGGUGAGACGACGCGGCGCCACUGAGGCCGAAGGUGUAAAGUGGAGGUUGGAAGCUUUCCGGCAUCUCCGCAGGCUUGAGGAUGAAUGCCCAUUGACUUGCAGAGAACCAGGAGGUGGAAAUCAGGGAAUUUCUAUUUGAUGCCGAGAAAGGGGGGAGGGGGGAGAAUAACAGAGAUAAAUGGAGAUCCUCUGGGGAGCCACACGAAGAGAAAAGAAAAACCGCUCCCCUCCUUCACCUUGACAGUCUUUCUUUCAGCUUCCUCCUCCUCUGGCGAGUUUUCUCCUUCUGCCUUUGUCCACCUCCUCACAUCCACCCCCGGGAGACCCGCACACACCCGGCAUUUGUCUUUCUGAGCUCCUCAGAAGAGGGAUCAGCCGCCUGCGACCCCCAGAAGUGGUGCAUGUAAUCCUAGAGGAUCUAUUGGAGAUGCAACGGUUCGUCUUCAGACAUCACAAAAACACAAUGAUUAAAUACAGACCGGUUUACGCAGCUUACGUGAGUUUUUCUUGGUUUUACGGCUUUUAGUUAUUUAUUAUAUCUUCACUGUUUGCUUAUUAAUCUGUUAUUGUUUUGUUUUUCAAUGACGCGUUGUUGCACCAUCCGUAAUAAUACUGCAACUUUCUUCACCUCGGCAGCAAUAAAGGACUAAAUUAUUAACCGUUUGACAUUUAAAGGUUUCUACAAGAUGUGCAGUUUUCUGCGAUCAAACUUUCUGUCCUGUAAACUUCUCAGGGACCUUUAAUGUCAACAUCUCCAGCACAAACACCCAUCCUCUGAAUGCUCUGCAUCUCCAGCUUGUGGUUGUUAAGCUGCGUUUGUCCUAGAGGUCACAACAGGUCACUUUAAAGACAAAUGGUCUCCGUGUGUGAAAUGGCUCCUGUGGUUAAAGAGAGCACAUUUAUAGUUUAUGGUCUUUGCAUGUAAACCACACGGCAUCGGGAUGGAGUCUGUAAAAGGACUCGUGCAUCUACCCAUAAAACCUGUUGUCAUUCAUACAUCUUGAGGCAAGCGUUCGGGGGACCCAUUGGGUUCCUCGCCUCGUUCCUCGCCUCGUUCCUCGCCUCGUUCCUCGCCUUCCUCAAACUCUCAAAAAUCCAUUUUCUAAAGGUUGCUUAGAGCUGUCUGUCGAUGUUUCAGAACAGCACGGGCUCUUAUCUCUGUUUUCAAAAAGAAAAAUUCAUCGAGGAGGAAGAAGUCGAAAGCGCAACCAGUCCGAACCUCAGACACGCAGAUAAACAUCCCGACAGGAGCUGUGCACUCUGCCCUCUCCACGCCGAGUGCACAGUGACGCACUUGAAGGGGGUGAUGGAGGAACAAAAGGACGAGUGACGAGGGGUCACAUGACAGCAGGAAGCAGGGGAGGUGGAGGGCAGAGGAGGAGGAGGGUUCUGUUAUUUACUGUUUUUAUUUAAAUAUGUGAUUUAAAUGAAUUAAAUGCACACACGGUCAAGGUCAAACACACACACUCGAAGGCACAAACAAAUAAUAAAUCCUUCCUCUUCUUUCUAAAUCACUAAUUAUAAUCGGUGUUUUCUUAAAACGAGCAAAGCAGAUCUGUAUAUUUAUUAUGCUAAUACAACCUUAAGAUGGUGCAUUUAUUUUCUACAGCUGCUGCCUUUUUCUGCUGAAUUAGAAACAGAUGUGCUGUGAGCGAAAGAAAAUAUGAGCUUUAUUUAAGUUCAGCGGGAGAUUAACGUAUUAGUCGAAUAAUAGUAAAAAAAAAAAAUUAAAUUACCUCAAUGAAUACUCAACAAAAUGUUUCAAGCAUCCCACAAUGAUUUGUGGCUUACGUUAAUAUAUUUUCUAACACCAUUCAUCCAUAAACGAUUUGCGCGCAGUUUAAUUAUUGGGACAAAUGAAAGGCAAUGUUCCAUUUACAAAAGUCAUUAUUAAUGCACGUCAAUGAGAGUAUUUUGCAGAUAGCAGUCAGACCAGUUUGAUUGAAAGUCUGAUUAAUAAGACUAGAAAUAAUAGAGAGAUAAAUGACGUUUGCUGAUGUGUUCUGUAUCGAGAGGAUGAGUUUUCCCUGUUUUUGACCGAUGGUGUUUUGAAAUUAUCUUUAAGAUAUGAGACAAAACUAGGUUGUAAGUUUAAAUAAAAACAUAAACAUGGACAUUUAACAGUAAAAUUUAAAGUAGAAUAAAUGAAAAUUCUAGCCACUGUGUUUCUACUUUAAUCUCGUUUUAAUGAAAAGUUUGAAAUUAAUGUUUGCUCUCAUUUCAACCCCUUUGUUUUGUUUUUUUCUAACUUUUGAUUUUAUUAUCACACACACAGUCUUUGCGCUAAGCUAAGCUAAGAUAAGCUAAGCUAACCGGCUGUAGCAUCUAAUCCACACAGAUAUGAAAGUGGUCUUUGUCUUCUAAAAAAAACAAUAUUUCCCAUAAUGUUGAACUAUUCCUUUAAGGUUUCCUUGAUCAGUAAGUUGCUGCAACACUACGGAAUUCAUUAUUUUCUACAUGUAUUAGCACUGAAACCCACUUGUACCUUCUUGUCCCAGGACGAGGAUAAUUGUCAUAUUCAUGGCUGUUUGAGCUGAUCCCAAUCAGCGCAUUCCGCACUGAUGACAACGUGUGGGAAAACACUCGGAGCUGAUUGGGAUCACUUCAAGCUGCUCGGACUCAUUUGCACUCAGAGCGGUGAAAAGGCCGAAUCCUGCCGUCGGGGUGAAUAUGGAGCUCGGGAGAUCUGAAAGCGGUGAUUAGGGUCUCUUCUGAAAUUAAAUGUGGGUUUUUAAAAGCCAAGUCGUGUAGACAAACAGGUGUCAAGAUCGCACAAUGUCACCUUUCAAUACGCCGGUUGAACCCCUCAAAAACCCUCAAAAAGACUCAUUUUAACACAAUUUCUGACAUGAUUACCAAGUAUAAUUAUUAUCACUUUCCUUCUUGAAUCCUGGAAGUUUUGGGGACUGGCGAAGAUUUUUUUGAAAUAACAUAUUUUCCCACAGAUGGCGAAGUGAUUACAUGGGCUCUGAUCAGUUAUGUGUGGGUGCGCUCGGGAGUCUCGGCCGAUGGAUUGCGAUGGUUUUGUUUCCUCGCAGACGCGAUAGAUCACCCGUGAGCCGGCAGAGACGCGCAGACGGGGUCGCGUCGGGCCGCCCCGGGGACGACGCGGUAAACGAGCUCCGAGCCAGCGGCCUUCUGGGAAGACGCCGCCGGCUGAGAAGAAGCGAGCAUUCAGGUGCGUGAAUGAAGGCAGCUGGGGAUUUAACUGCAGUGAGGAAUAUAAAAGUUAAUCACACCGUGGAAGGAGUGGAAAAGCAGCAGACGUUGGAAACAGAAAGAUAACCGCUGCUGUUGAGGGGAAAUAAAAAGCAGCUGCAUAAUCACUUCUUUUUUAGUGUCUGGCUGCAGAGUUACGAGAAGGUCGAAGGAUCUGAGCAGAAAAGAGCCACCGUGAGGCUCCGGGGAAAUCAACCUCAUGAAACGUUCUCACCCGAUAAACAGGCCGCGGUGAUCGCCGUUCAUCUUUCUUUCCCUGAAAGCUGCUCGGAAUCAUUGACUUCCUUUUUCAAAGAUCCACACCACGAUUUGCUCCUUGAUUCCCGUUUCGCAGGUUGAUUCUAUUUCAAAUGAAAAUGCGCAUCAGGAGAUCGUGGGCGAGUCGCACAAAAGGACCCGGUUGAGGAAGAGGAGGAAGAGAUGCGACAUCCAGAAGGUAACCCGGAGGUGAGAGUUCGGGGGGGGGGUCCGCUCCAGCCGAUGGCUAACGAGCAGCAGGUGUGUGAGAAGGAGGAGGUACAUGCACAGCAGCUGGGAUCAGAAUAACGUCUGGAAUCGUGCAGGAUGCUUGUUCGAUUUCUCACGAGCGGCAGCCGGUGCCGCCGAUGGCUUCCCUCUCGGAGGAGUCGGCCAUGUGGCCACGUGCGGUUCGUCUUUGGUCGGGCAGGCGUGGCCCCAAACAGCUGCAUGUGCGUUGCUUGACGGGCCGGCGUCGUCCUUCGGUGCUCGUACGAAUCCCCCCCCCCCAGACGAACCAAAAGUAAAGAAAACGUCUUCUUCCCGUCAAAGUCGAUCUUCCCAACCGAUGCUCCGUUGGGCGGGAACCUGAAGGGGAUUUGCCGUCUUCUGUGUUCUUCUGGAAAUCAAAUCGUCCAAAAUUUCACUUUUCUGUCAGCAUCAAACUGUUUUUAAGAGACAGAGGAGCGCCGAGCCGGGCAAACUCUUAUCGGAACCCUGGAGACCGGCGCUGAGAACAAGGCCCGUUGAACACGGAGAGGCGCUUUCGUUCCGUGCAUUCGGCUGAACGCUGAUUGAAGGUGAAAAAAAACAAAACAAAAAAACCCUGCCGGCAGUAACCAGGUUGUUGUUUUCCCCUCCGGAGUCCCCAGAGAUCUGCUGCACCUCUGCGACGACAACAACAAACCCCCCCGAACAGAUGAUCGGAGUGGAGGAGCCGCGUGAACACGAACCGAAUGAAAGGCUGAAUCAUGAAUCAUUUAGAUAUGAACAAAAGGGAAAGCAGAACGUCCUUGGAUGAGAUGCAACAGAGGACGUUACCUUUCGAUCAAAGAUUCAUCGAGCUCUCUUAAUCCACGUGUCGAAAACGUCUUUAUUAAAGCUCGGGUCGACGUCAUGGGAGGAUGAAUGAGGAGCGAGCGGGACUUUUAAAGUGCGCCUGGUUGUGGGGGGAUAAUGAAUGAUAAAUAAAGAUCCUUUCAACUAAUAUAAGCGAUACGUCCUUUAAUGCGAAAACAGUUUAUAUUCUGUUGCAAUUAUUACAGCUUUAACGUUUAUGUCACUUCAGAGACAUGAAUACAAUCCCGCUCAUGUCGUUUCAUGGGAAUAAUACAUUGUGUUGAGGAUUUCCUGCGACAUACAUUCGAGUUGUGUACUUUUUCUACAAAAAAGUAGCUUUAGGUUUGAGAAGGAGGGAAACACGCCACGUCUGGAAGGAGCGCUCAAUCACUUCUCUUUUCCCCUCUCCAGCCUCCAUUUGUCCCCCUGUCUGUGGAGACAAUUCCUCACUGACGUCCACAGAAUUUCAAUCCGGGGAAGCGGGGUCGUAGGUCACAGUGGGGAGACGGGAUGCCUCUUAUUGCCAAAGGCCAUUUCCUCUACUUGUUGGAUAAAAAAGGGAUUUUUUCCCCCAUCUGGUCCGCUGCAGCGCUUAACACACCGCACGAGUCAAUCUCAUUUGCGCUGCCUUUAAUCAAGGUUGCAGUCUCGCUGGGCUUCAACGACGCCUACAUAAUAAAAGAAUAAUUGAGAACAAGGACAAGCUAAAACCAAACUCUGCCCUGUGGGGAAAUUAAACUUGAGCUAAAUACAGAAAACACCGAAAUGAAUAUAUUUGGUUGAUGCAUUAUUCAUGUUCCUUUUAGUAGACAUUUAACUGAGGCUGCGAACGUUUCUCCCGCCUCGCCGGCCUUUUAAAGCGCAGACACUAAUGAGCCACGCGACGCGCGACUGUAAUCUGCUUACGGUCGGCUGUGGCGUCGACGCGUGUAAACGUGUCGAUAAAACGCUUUUCUGAGCGUAUCGUGGGGCACCGAAACCCGCGACAGGCCCCGCUAGAGCGGUCUUUCCGUUCUGACACCCCCCCAGUGGAGCCGGCAAGACCCAGGAAAGAGACGGGGAGCCGGGGGAGGGCGGUGGGAGAUGAGGGUGGCUUAUUUUAACAGGGGGUUUCUUUA